AGGUGUACCUGGCAGGGGAGUGGAGAUACCAUGAUGAAGAAGAUGGUUCACCCAGGGCGAGGCUCAUCCAUUGCACUCCGGUUUUGCUGAACCCUGCGAAUUCCCCAAAUGUGGGAAUCUCGACUGCAGAAUUUCUGGUAGAGGGGGACUGUGUCCACGCUCUCCCCUG
Chelmon rostratus (copperband butterflyfish) is the source of this 169-nucleotide small nuclear RNA. RefSeq annotates it as U1 spliceosomal RNA. Lineage: Eukaryota; Metazoa; Chordata; Actinopteri; Chaetodontiformes; Chaetodontidae. The record is from RefSeq and is a predicted model, not a curated record. The transcript has a single exon.